CUUAGUGGCAGACGGGUGAGUAACAUGUGGGUAUCUGCCCUUUGGCCUGGAAUAACACGAGGAAACUUGUGCUAAUACCGGAUAAGCCCUUACGGGGAAAGUUUUAUGCACCAUUGGAUGAGCCCGCACUUGAUUAGUUAGUUGGUAGGGUAAUGGCCUACCAAGACUGUGAUCAAUAGCUGGUUUGAGAGGAUGAUCAGCCACACUGGGACUGAGAUACGGCCCAGACUCC
This 232-nucleotide ribosomal RNA is filed under the name uncultured bacterium. Its description in RNAcentral is "partial 16S ribosomal RNA". It matches the Rfam family "Bacterial small subunit ribosomal RNA", at positions 91 to 339 of the family's 1533-position model. The record is from RNAcentral.